AAAAAAAGAAAAAUUCUAACCUUUUAAUUCUAACGUCAACGUCAGCCUCUCAUUCUUGCAAUUAUUUUAAUGGUUCUUCUCCAAGCUAUUUUCUUGACAUAUAAUAAUUAAAAAUGCAUAUGAUAUCCUAGGUUGUAUACAAAAGUAGGGACCUAUUUUUAGCUGUGCCUCCAAAAUCCUGCUGGAUAUAUUUUAUGGGCUUUUGAGCACAGCAAUCUAUUAGCCAAUGUCUUCAUUGAAAUGGGCCACUCUACUCCCUGGGAAUAGUUAUAAUGGAGCUUAUUAUCCUAUAAUUAUCAGUUGUGUUACAAAGCCAAGUUUUGCUAAUCCAGUAGCUUGUACUUAUCCACCUUGAAACAAGUUUUUGGGGCUACACAAACCCCAUGCACGUGGGGAAUGGGUGAUGGGUCACGCCUGUGGAAUGAACUGAGGAAUUCUGGGAGGGUGCCUCUUGCUCCAGAACCUCCUCCACAUUCAGGUUCAACUGCCCCUGAGUGCCACCUGUGUUCAUUCAUUCACUAUUUACUGAGUGCUGACGACAUGACAGCUAUUAUGUGAGGCACCAGCAGCAGAGAUUUGUGCCUGGGGCUAAAGAUUUCCAGGCAUUCUCUUUUAAAACGUAGGUUCAACUGGGCUAGACAUCACAUUAAUCACGAUGCCUCGGUAUGAAUCGAUUUGUGAGGUCCCUCAAGCUCACCCAGCCUGGGAGGUGUGGAGUGACGAUUUCCACCCAGGCGGUCUGGCACCAUAUAUUCCAAAUGAGUGUUGCCCUACCACGUCAUCAUUUUGGGAGGUUACACGUUUGCUGCAACAAUCCUGCCAUUGCCCAACACGUUUGGGAUUACUCUCUGGGAGUUUGAGACUGAAGGACUCAGAAUCUAAUGCCAGCGCCACUAGUCAGCAGCUAAGACAUCAUAAGUGGCUGCCAGUAGCCGGUAUUGACAACUACUUCACUCUGACCAGGAGAAACCUGGGACUCUGAGCAAAUCAGCUAAAGCCAUCUACUCUGCCAUCUCCAGGACCAAGAUCUAUGCCACCUCGGACCCAUUCACCCAAGAAUCCACGCAAAGAACCAGGCUGCUGCUGUGCCUACAUAUUAGUGUUUUUGUACAAGUAACCCCCGCUCCCCAUUCACUCCCCUCAAAAUCCAUCAUUUUUAAGAGACCAAUUGCCGUGUGUGGACCUUACUCAAAAAUCCCACUUCAAAGGAACCAAUGGUAAAUAUGAUCACUGAUAACAUAGGAGAUUCUCGUUGGUAUUUUUGCUAUGAUAAUGAGAUCAAUUUUUUUUCUUUUCUUUUUUGCUGAGGAAGAUUGGCCCUGAGCUGAUAUCUGUGCCAAUCUUCCUCUAUUUUGUACGUGGGUUGCUGCCACAGCAUGGCUGAUGAGUCAUGUAGGUCCUCGCCCAGGAUCCAAACCCACAAAUCCAGGCCACUGAAGCAGAGCACACCGAACUUAACCACUAUGCCACUGGGUUGCCACCCUUGUUUUUUUUAAAGAAUCUUUAUCUUUUAGAGAUACAUACUAAAAGAUUUACUCAUGAGAUACAUGGUAUCUUUGCUUCACGGUAAUGGCAGGGGACUGGGUGGGGUCUUGCUGAAGCUGUGUGAUGGGUACACACGAAUCUGAUACUUUCCUCUUAUUUUUAUAUAUGUU
This is a long non-coding RNA of Equus caballus (horse), 1655 nucleotides long. NCBI's taxonomy places the organism in Eukaryota, Metazoa, Chordata, Mammalia, Perissodactyla, Equidae. The record is from Ensembl.